AGCUCAUGGACAGAGGGCGGCCGUACACGGCGCCGAUGGACACGAGGCGGCCAUCCACUCCCCUUGGCGCCCUACAAUGUUGCUCUCUCCCCCCUGCGAAACCCUAGCCGCAUCUCCUUCCUCUCCCUCGUGCCACGAUCUCCUCUGCUUGCACCGCCCGAGUGACACCGCCGCCAUGCCGCCUCCACAGACGCCCCCACCGGCCUCCCCAAGCCCUGAGACAGCGACCAGGAGGACAACCACCAUCGAAUUCGUCCAUCCCGAGCAUCAAAUCGAGCGGAGCUGCACCGAAUCGCCGCCAUCGAGUUCGUCUUCGACAUCCUGCACCGCCGGCCGCCAUCGUCGAUUCGCUCGACCCCGACCGUCCCCGGCCUCCCCAACCACGUCCGUGGCUCCUUGAUGGUGGAUCCCUGGAGCCAGAUGCCACCGCCGAUGGAUGCUGCUACAUGGAGACCAUCGAUGACUAGGAGUAGUUAUAGGAGGUCCCAGGCAGGAGGCCUUGCCUCUUCGAUCGUGUUGCUUUUGUGCUAGCCUUCUUAAGGCAUCCUUGUUUAACUUAUGUCUGUACUCAGAUAUUGCUGCUUCCGCUGAAUCUUGUGUAUCGAGCUUGUAUUCGAGCCCUCGAGGCCCCUGGCUUGUAAUAUAAAGCUUGUAUUAUUUUGAUUUG
Triticum aestivum (bread wheat) is the source of this 667-nucleotide long non-coding RNA. RefSeq lists it as uncharacterized. The transcript is spliced from 2 exons. NCBI's taxonomy places the organism in Eukaryota, Viridiplantae, Streptophyta, Magnoliopsida, Poales, Poaceae. The record is from RefSeq and is a predicted model, not a curated record.